CAUCGACCCAUAAAUGCGCUGCUCUUCUUAGUUUUCACUCUGAAGACAUUCCCCUCCUCAACACCCCCCCCCCUCCGCCCCACACGCACUCCGUUGUCCUCUCUCUCUCUUGCCUGCACAGAGUCCUCUCCGGGUAAAAAAAAAACAGAAAAAAAACACCAGCAGCAAGCGCGGCGUCUUCACGCAGAUGCCAUCGACGCCGCUGGACAGUGCACAGCCCGCCGAUAGCUGUGGUGAGCCGACGCAAACGCUCACUAGUGCGAAGCAGACGCACUCUCUGGACCGAUUUUCACCUGUGCACGACACGCCGUGCGAGCACGUCCAGCCCAACACCGUGGCGCGCGUGAGCGACGAGCUGCUCGAAAUGCUUGCCGAGGACCGUCGCAUCAAUCUCAAGCACCACUUGGUAGUGGAUAAGUUGUUCAAGGCGUACCUGCUAGAAAAGAAGAACUUCGCCAACGUGAUGCGAACCUAAAGGGGAGAUGUGCGUCCAUCGCGCAUGCGAUGAAAGUAGGCGGAUGGAGUGGUGACGUGGCAGGGGAAGAGGGCCGGUCGCGAUACCAUCUGCUGCUGACCCUCCCCUCGCUCUCGCGCGAACUCGUUUGCACCGGUGCACUGCCUUCUUGAAGGUUCUUGGUACCCUUUCCCGUGCUCAUGUAUCUCGCCGAUUCUUACUGUCGUUAGUAUCUUCGUGCGGAAGUGAGCGCACAUGUUUUCAUCAUCUGCAGUCUAACGCUCCCUUUCGUGACCUUCUUUUCCGCGGCGAACGGCUUCCCUCUUCUCCGGGCCCGCUCGAUGGUGGUGAAAGGGCGUCUUUUACAUGGGAGUGCCGACGGUCAACUCUCCUGCUUACCUCCGCACCUCCUCCGCUCUCCGUCCUGCGCCAGCAAGUGGGCGUGCACCGGUCCCUGCGGAGGUUUUUCCUUUAUUGGUUUCCUUUUCGCGCGCGUGUGUGUGUGGAUCCUUUUCGCUCGCCUUCCGCGGGGCUCAUACGCGUGCGGCAAGAUCCGAGGGUGCGAGGGACGGACGACGGAGGCGCUUUUCUUACAUUCCCUUGCCCACUGCGAGCGAUAACUGCACUUCGAUCGUCAGUGCGCCUUCUGGGUCCCUCCUCACUCGUCGCUGCCGCUAUCCGUGCCCUCACAGUAAGUCCCGCGACACCCCACCCCUUCAUGUAUCCACCCGGUGAGACAGGAAAGUGGAAGGAAAGGUGUUUCCUCACUCCCGUCCUGUGCACAAGCGCAAGCACAUGCGGGUAUGUCUGCUCUUGUAUGGAGAACGCACUCUGCUCCGACCGGUGUGGCCCUCUCGGUGCAAGCGGCACGACCGCGCACAGACCACCCCGGAAGUCGGGUCGAUGGAGACGAGUAUGCCGACUCGCUCAAUGGCCCCAGUUUAAAGCGUUCUCUCCCCCCUCUCUCACGGUGGCGAAGGAAAGGGAGGACUCAUCUAGUGACAUGAGUGCCAGCGCGCCGCUGGUGCGCUCGCAGCUCCACCCUCCGUCUUCCUUAUUUCCCAGAGCGCAUCCGACGCCUGUCCUUCCGAUUCUUCUUCUCCAUCUGAAUUUCCCGUCUUUGCCUGGACGCGUGUUCGCUUAUUGUGAGUCGGUGCCACCACACUCGUCGUUUGGCCGCCACGGCUGCCGCCACGCCACCUCCUGUCGUUCACCUCCGCUAACUACGCCGUUGGCCGUCGAACCUCUUUUCCUGCGUGAAUGUGUACCCCCUGCUUCUCUAUGUCCCUGCGUAUAUGCAUAUAUGUAUAUAUUUAUAGGCUUGGAUACAUGCAUAUAUAUAUAUAUAUAUAUCGGUGUGUGCAUGUCGGUGCACAUAUAAACG
Molecule: unclassified non-coding RNA, 1838 nt
Filed under: Leishmania donovani
Lineage: Eukaryota; Euglenozoa; Kinetoplastea; Trypanosomatida; Trypanosomatidae
Description: gene:LdHU3.15.1800(CDS-product:hypothetical_prote in_conserved)
Source: RNAcentral